AUGGACAUUGUUAAUGCUAUAUCAGAUGUGGAAUCAGCUAAGCGAGAGCUAGAUAAGCUUAGAUCUGAGCAUGGAUGGAAUCCUCUCCUGAGCAAGGUAUGUUCUUUUUGCAACAAGAAUGAUAUUUCUGUUAUGGACAUGGAAAAGGAGUAUGUAAAUCCAAAGAAGCCAAGGCAAAGGACUGUUAUUAAUAAUGAGCAUCAUUACCGGGUCGACUGUUUUUUUGCUGUUUUGGAUUUAUUGGUAGAAGAACUAAACCACAGAUUCAAUGAGGUAAACAAUGAGUUGCUUUGUUGUAUGUUUGCUUUCAACCCAAGUUGUCGGUUUAGUCACUAUGAUGAUGAGAAGCUGAUGAAGUUGGCGAAGUUCUAUCCUAAUGACUUUAGUGAUAACGAGCUAGACUAUCUUGAGAAAGAGCUUUGCCUCUACAUAGAUAAUGUACGCAAUGAUACAAGAUUUGCUAGCUUGGAAACUCACUACACCACAACACUACAUCCCUAA
This 501-nucleotide ribosomal RNA is filed under the name Triticum aestivum (bread wheat). RNAcentral describes it as "partial small subunit ribosomal RNA". Lineage: Eukaryota; Viridiplantae; Streptophyta; Magnoliopsida; Poales; Poaceae. The record is from RNAcentral.